Girardinichthys multiradiatus is the source of this 645-nucleotide long non-coding RNA. RefSeq lists it as uncharacterized. Lineage: Eukaryota; Metazoa; Chordata; Actinopteri; Cyprinodontiformes; Goodeidae. The record is from RefSeq and is a predicted model, not a curated record. The transcript is spliced from 2 exons.
UGGUAGAGCUCCAACCAUCUCAUGUAUUAAGUAUUUUCUCGUUUGACUUUUGCUAACCUGCCUUUGUCUUCUUGUACGCCAGAUCGAGACUACCUGGAUAUUACCCAGGCUGGAUUGUCCUACUGCUUUGUUAAGCUCACUUUUUCAGGAUGUGACAUUUUGGACUUUGUUUGGUUAUUUAAGAUGCUGCUUCCAAGCUCUUGUCUGCGCUUCGGUCCACCCCAAAACCCCACCGUGAUACACUUUGUCUCGGACCUUUGGAGUACCUGAGCUUCACAGACGCCACGUUAUCAUUCUACCGGACUAACUUUGCUGGCUGCCGCCAAGUGCCUCCUGCCUCACACCGAUUCCACAGAACCUGUCCACCCUCCACCGCUCACAAGCAACCCAGCUCCGGCACCGCACUACCACUCGCUGUUGCACACUCCAGGUUUGGAGCCUUCGUACUCACCGCACUGUGUACCCAUUCCGGUCUGCCUGAAUCCCUCUCCUCCUGGUGGAGAACUCACCCAGCCUAGCAAGGAAAUACUUAUUCAUUAUUUUGUUCUUAGUUCCACUCCUACUUACUGUUUUCUUCUUCUUUAUAGCCCCGCCAUGUACCAGUGCAACCAGUAUUGCUGUAUUCAAUAAACUUAUUAUAAACUU